This 556-nucleotide ribosomal RNA is filed under the name Campylobacter jejuni. Its description in RNAcentral is "partial 23S ribosomal RNA". It matches the Rfam family "Bacterial large subunit ribosomal RNA", at positions 1 to 576 of the family's 2925-position model. The record is from RNAcentral. Lineage: Bacteria; Pseudomonadati; Campylobacterota; Epsilonproteobacteria; Campylobacterales; Campylobacteraceae.
AAAGGUAAGCUACUAAGAGCGAAUGGUGGAUGCCUUGACUGGUAAAGGCGAUGAAGGACGUACUAGACUGCGAUAAGCUACGGGGAGCUGUCAAGAAGCUUUGAUCCGUAGAUUUCCGAAUGGGGCAACCCAAUGUAUAGAGAUAUACAUUACCUAUAUAGGAGCGAACGAGGGGAAUUGAAACAUCUUAGUACCCUCAGGAAAAGAAAUCAAUAGAGAUUGCGUCAGUAGCGGCGAGCGAAAGCGCAAGAGGGCAAACCCAGUGCUUGCACUGGGGGUUGUAGGACUGCAAUGUGCAAGAGCUGAGUUUAGCAGAACAUUCUGGAAAGUAUAGCCAUAGAGGGUGAUAGUCCCGUAUGCGAAAAACAAAGCUUAGCUAGCAGUAUCCUGAGUAGGGCGGGACACGAGGAAUCCUGUCUGAAUCCGGGUCGACCACGAUCCAACCCUAAAUACUAAUACCAGAUCGAUAGUGCACAAGUACCGUGAGGGAAAGGUGAAAAGAACUGAGGUGAUCAGAGUGAAAUAGAACCUGAAACCAUUUGCUUACAAUCAUUCA